CCUACGGGUGGCUGCAGUGAGGAAUAUUGGUCAAUGGGCGCUAGCCUGAACCAGCCAAGUAGCGUGAAGGAUGACUGCCCUAUGGGUUGUAAACUUCUUUUAUAUGGGAAUAAAGUGCCGUAUGUAUACUGGUUUGCAUGUACCUUAUGAAUAAGGAUCGGCUAACUCCGUGCCAGCAGCCGCGGUAAUACGGAGGAUCCGAGCGUUAUCCGGAUUUAUUGGGUUUAAAGGGUGCGUAGGCGGGUUGUUAAGUCAGGUGUGAAAGUUUGUGGCUCAACCGUAAUAUUGCUGUUGAUACUGGCGUGCUGGAGUACAGGAGAGGUAGGCGGAAUUCGUGGUGUAGCGGUGAAAUGCUUAGAUAUCACGAAGAACUCCGAUUGCGAAGGCAGCCUGCUGGACUGAAACUGACGCUGAUGCACGAAAGUGUGGGUAUCAAACAGGAUUAGAUACCCGAGUAGUC
Molecule: ribosomal RNA, 460 nt
Filed under: uncultured bacterium
Lineage: Bacteria
Description: partial 16S ribosomal RNA
Rfam family: Bacterial small subunit ribosomal RNA
Source: RNAcentral